Long non-coding RNA from Drosophila elegans, 5182 nucleotides. RefSeq lists it as uncharacterized. NCBI's taxonomy places the organism in Eukaryota, Metazoa, Arthropoda, Insecta, Diptera, Drosophilidae. The record is from RefSeq and is a predicted model, not a curated record. The transcript has 2 exons.
AAAGGUGGAUUUUUUUUUUUAAAUUUCUAAACGUUUCCAACGGAGGGGCAAACAAACCAAUAAAAACACACAAAUAUUUUUAAACCUACACACAUUUGGCAAUUCCUUGUGUUCCCCCUGCUGAACUGGAGGUCACCUGCUCAUCCCUCCCGACCAUGCAGACUGCCUUGGGCAACAUACUUGCAGCUGCCCCAAAUAUAUUUGUUUACCUUUAUUUAUUCGUUUUUCUUUUUUUUUUAAUUGCACCAUUAUGUACCCCUUUUACCAAUAUCCCCGCCUCUCCCAUUAAUUAAUCUUUACUCCAUGUUCAUCUUUCUUAUUUUCCUUUAAUAAUUCUUAUUUACUAGUUUUUAAAACAUAUUACCCUUUUGUGGACCCCAGUGUACGUUUUCGGGUUUCCCAAAAUUGAUAUACUCCUUGACCCUGACCUACCGUAAGAGCUCUUAAGGUUGUUUAUUCUUUCUUUACCAGGGAUUUAAAAAAAAUGUAAUUGUAUACGCAAGGAAAAUUGAAUUUAUAUUGCUCCGGGCUCAAAUCCCCACGCUCACAAACAACUCAGUAUUUUUCAGUAUAAAAUCACCCCUGCGCCGACGUUCGAUAUGGCUAUCGAUAGCCCGGCCACAACAACCACACUGACAAUCAACAACAAUCCGAAUACGAAAACAAAACAAGAGAAUUGGCAGUGAAGAAAUGGCCUUAAUCCGUAAUCUGGAGUCAGAACCACGGAUUUGACACCCGCAGGACACAUAGGAACUCUCCAAGCGCCCAACGAGGAAAAACGCCCAAUAUGCCCAACGACCCAGUCUGGACUUCGGUGAUUCUUACUCCGGAAGAUCAGCUGUCCUGUUAUACGUGAAAUAUCUGAAACAUAUUCCAGAUUUAUAUUUCUUCUCUCUUCCAGAUACUCUUCGUUGGUCGUUCAUAUCCCCUUGGUGUAGGUCGCCUUCUUCAGACAUCCCUUACUGCUUUAAGUCCUUCACAUGGUACACCCCGCAGAGCUUUCCGCGCAUGUUUUCCACUUCAUACAUAUGAUUACCCACGGGCCUGCGAAUCCUGCACUUGACAAACUUUCUGGCGAAUUUCGCAUUAAAGUUCUUUUCAAAGUCACUUUGUACAAUAUUCCUUCGGAAGAUUUCUUGCCCUGGCUUGAAUGUGAUCUGCCGUGUGGUCCGAUUAUAGUAGCGCGCGCUGGACUCGUGCGCUCUAUGUAUAUUCCUGCGGAUCGACUCGCGCAACAGUUCCAACCUAUCUCCAUGUUCUAGAUGCCGGAUUUUGCAGUCCUCCAACGAGAGCAGCUUUCUUGCCAAUUGGUAAUCAGCCCCACUUGUGAACAUAUGCUGGCCAAACAGUGCAAAAUACGGUGUAGAGCCGGUGGCCUGGUGUAUCGAGCUUCUUAAAGCCGUUUCUAUCUCGGGCAGAUAUAAGUCCCAGUCGCGGUGAUCCUGAUCCAAGUAGGCCCUAAUCACAUUCAGCACCGAUUGGUUCACUCUUUCGGACGCAUUGGACUGAAGAGAAUUAACCGCCGUCCUUACAUGUUUUAUUUGGUAAAGCUGUAUCAUAUCCGCAAACUUCUUUCCCACGAAUUGUUUUCCAUUAUCGGAAUGCAGUAUUUCCGGUACGCCAAACGUGUGGAACACUUCGCUGGUCAAAAACCUUACGACUGCUGCUGCAGUGGCCUCCCUCAUGGCUUUUAAAAAGACGAAUUUCGAAAAAUGGUCUACCACUAGAGUGCGUUUGAAUACAAAGCCGUCCACUACUUUUAAAUCCGGCAAUCUCUCCUGAUUUGCCUCGACCUCCUUUCUCAACUCGGUGUAGUCCGCCGCUAGGACCAUCUUGCCAGCCGCCCACUCAAAUCCUUCAAUGACAUCAGCCAUUUUAGGCUAGAGUGGUCUGUUAUUAUCGUAAGCGGCAUCAACUCUAUAUAUUGCCUGAACCGUUUUACACCAAGACGGCCGCCAUGCACUCCUUUUCGGUAACGCUAUACUUAAUUUGGAAAGAAUUGAGCUUCUGAGAAUAGAAAGCGAUUGGUCUUUCACCGUCAUCCUCUUCUUCCUGGAAUAACACUGCUCCUAUUCCAACAUCUGAAGCAUCACAUUGCACGUAGAACCUUUUAGGGAAGUCCGGAUGCCGUAACACUAGAGCUGAUAUAAGCGCAGUUUUUAAGGCUUCCAUUGCUUCCUUAGCGUCAUUUCGAAUUUUCGACCCUUUUUUAAGGUAUCCGUGAGCGGUGCUGCCAAUUCAGCAAAGUUCCUGAUGAAUCUGCGAUACCAUCCGGCUGUACCCAAAAGGCGUCGUACUUCCUUUGCACUUCUUGGUUCCGGCAUGUUUCGGAUUGCAUCCACUUUACCAGGAUCCGUCCUCAGGACUCCUUUACUUAUGAUAAACCCAAGAUAUCGCAGCUCCUUAAAACAAAAAUGUGAAUUUUUGAGCCCUAUCUUCAAACCUGCUUCUCGGAGACAUAGAGAAACUCUUUUCAACGCUUCUAUAUGCUCGUCGAAUGUAGGAGAUACCACCAGCAAAUCUUCAAGGUAUAAAAACACCUUCUCCCUGAGCGUUUGAGGUAUCACUUUGUCCAUCAAGCGACAUAAACGUUGGGCAGCGUUGGUUAAUCCAAACGGCAUAGCUACGAAUUGGCACAACGGCCGUCCCGGCACUGUAAACGCUGUGUACUUUCUAUGGCUCUCUUCCAACUCUAUCUGCCAAAAUGCAAGCUUUAGGUCGACGCUCGUUAUAAACCUGGUCGUAUCAAUGCGACUCAGUAUGCCCCCUAUAUUUUGCUGCCGAUAUGCAUCCUUUAUGGUUCUCUCAUUCAGCUUCCGGGCAUCUAAGCAGAGUCGAUUUUUACCAGGCUUUCUAACUAGUGUAAUCGUAUUGCUCCAGGCGCUAUCGCUCUCUUCAAUGACCCCUAGGCGCAACAUUUCAUCUACUUUCUCAUAUAUAAGCUUUUGGACAGCAGGAGAUACCGGAUAAUGGCGAUCUUUUACCGGAACUGCCUCCUUUACCAGCUCAAUAGUGCGCUUCAUGUUCUUCCCAAUCCGUGCUCUUCAAAAGACAGAAAUUAUUCUUAAACUUCUUUCAACUGCGACCUUUGGUUGUUACUAAGAUCGUGUGGUUAGGGAUUUAUUCUGUCUGGUACCUCUUGCAUUAGCUUGCUUUCCGUCGUGAGUUCUUCGAGCCCGAAUAUUUCUGGUGCUAUCCCAAAUCCACGCCAAAAAUCGACUCCCAGAUACAGCUCCUGACCCAGAGGACAUAGAAAAAUACUCAUGUUGACAUUGGUACCCUUAUAAUUAACUGGAAUUCGUAUUUUUCCUAAUAUGUUUUGGGAUGAUCCACUUGCAGUUCGCACCUUUGCAUGAUAGGGUUACCAAGGAAUUCCCAUUUUGUGCACUAACUCCUUGCAGCCUUUGCCCAACAAGCUUACGGAUGCGCAAGAAUCCAGUAGCCCACGAAAUUCCUUUCCGGCCAUCUGCACCAAUACAUAUGGGCGCGGAUCUGUUCUGGCUUCUUUUCUGCCCAUGGCCGUAACUGAUCGUUGCACCUGCUGCCGUUCUUGCCGACGUUUCUUAAACCUUUCUCUAGCUUUCUUAACUCUUCUUGUUAUUAAUGUCUUUCCCAUCAGCUGAUUCUUAUAAAAUAUGCGAUCUCGAGCCUCCAUAUACCGGCGCAGGCGUUCCUGCAGUGACAACAAUACCCUGUCAGGAUUGGAUGUUGUUUCCCUGACCGCAGCUUGCUUGCUGUCUUACUGUUUUAGUGCUGCCUCCUCGGAUUUUCCGUAGGCUCUCUCCCGGAACGUAGAUUGCCUGCCACUCCCGCGUUCCGGAGACCGUUUCCCUGGCUGCAUUUGGGGCAUUUUGGAGUAAAUGUGUUUGCCAAUCCACAUUUGUAGCAGAACAGAUUCCGUUGCUCCGCUUCGCACUCCUUAAAACCAUGACCCUUCUGCUGACAGUUCCAGCACACCAUUGGCUUCCUCAUGGACUCGACACCGAUUGCUUCCACAGCUUCCUAUUAUCGUAAUAACGCCGCUCUAUUAUCGCAAUAACGCCGCUCUAAAGCAGUUUAGAGCUCGGACCAGUCCCUCGGCGGCUUUGUGCGGAUCAUUAGCCAGUACCACUCGGAGGCAUCUUCAACCAGAAGGCGAUGGAAAUCUCUUCACAACUCUGGCCACGGCAUGCCGUAGUGUUGUUGAAGGUGUUCUACCCGAAAGAAAAAAUACUCGGCGCUCAUGGUUCCUGUGUUGCCUGCAAAUUGGAAUCCCCAUUUGUCGAGAGGAAUAUAGAAUCUCAAUUGCCCACCCCUUGGCUGCUGUUUGCACCAGGCAUGUUGGGUGCAAAUCGGUUACUAAUAUUGCCUGGUAAAUGUAGCAUCGAUUGAGACACAUUAGAGAUUCCAUUCUGCCCAAGAUUCGGAAAUAAGUUCCUAUAAGCUGGUUGCACGUUGCCGCUAAGCGCCUGCCUUUGUCGUCCUCCUCCUGGUACUUCGGUGUCAGCCGCACUUCCGCCGCCUUCCUGCUGGCUUCUGUCCUCCUGCAUGUUUUGCUGACCGGGCCGACUAAUGAUUGGCCCAAUUCGGCUGUUCGCACUUCCAGCUGAUGAUGAUGAUGCUGGCGAAUUUCCUUUUAACUCCAGCUUUUUCAUCAGUUCAGCGAAUCCGGUCUGCAUACAUUGUUCGAUUCGCACAUCUACCAACUGUUGCAUGUCGACUCUUAAUUGCUCCUGGGACGUCAUAAUUAACAGCUCGAUUUCCCUUCUGUCGCCUGAGCCUGAGUCGUAUUCCGCCGCAGCUUCCGCGCUAUACUGCUCUUGUAUUGGGUCCAACUGAAUAUGCGAGUAGGUUCCAAAAGGAGUACAAGUGUUAUCGAGAUUUAACCCCCUAGGAAUAACUCCCUUUUGUUGCGCGCUUAGACGGUUCCUAUCCCCUGGCCUUCCUUACCCUUGAUCUUGCUCUGUAUUUUCGUUGUCACUCAUUCUGGACAGGUAUUACCACUUCCACCGUCCGAAGCUACUUUCUCUCUAAUCAUUGGAGCAAACGACAUCGGACUACAACUGAAUGUGAUGUGAUUUCGGAUCCUAUUUUGGACGCCGGUUGCUGGAUGAGUAGCUCUUGGAAGGGAAAUAAUCAGAAUUAGCUUCUAAUUUUCCUACACGCAGAAAAAUAGUUGGAAAUAUAUAUGAAUUGGAUAAUA